RNAcentral lists this small RNA (600 nucleotides) under Histoplasma capsulatum var. duboisii H88. Its description in RNAcentral is "Histoplasma capsulatum H88 hypothetical RNA". Lineage: Eukaryota; Fungi; Ascomycota; Eurotiomycetes; Onygenales; Ajellomycetaceae. The record is from RNAcentral.
GCAGAGAUUCCAGCGUGCGGCGAACUAUAUUGCUGCCGGCAAGCUCCUUAUACAUUCUUUUGAUAUGAUCUUUUCAUAUUAUGUGCUGAUAUCCCGAUAUAGCUAUGAUAUUCCUGCAGGACAAUGCAUGCCUAAAGCGAGAGUUGAAAUUUGACGAUAUUAAACCGAGAUUAUUAGGCCAUUGGGGAACCUGCCCAGGGCUGACCUUCGUCUAUUCCCACCUGAAUUACUUGAUUUGCAAGCAUGACCUUGACAUGAUAUAUGUCGUGGGACCGGGUCAUGGCGCACCAGGAAUCCUAGCUGCGCUCUGGAUGGAAGGUUCUCUGGAGAAAUUCUAUCCAGGAUAUAGUCGAGACACGAAAGGCCUUACGAAGCUGAUCACUACGUUCAGUACCACGGGUGGAUUUCCAAGUCAUAUCAACGCCGAAACUCCAGGUGCAAUCCACGAAGGCGGCGAAUUGGGAUAUGCUUUAUCCGUUUCGUUUGGGGCGGUCAUGGACAAGUCGGAUUUGAUAGUCACAUGCAUUAUCGGUGAUGGCGAAGCAGAAUCUGGGCCGACAGCAGCGUCCUGGCACGGAUUCAAAUAUAUUGACCCUGCAG